This 262-nucleotide ribosomal RNA is filed under the name uncultured bacterium. Its description in RNAcentral is "partial 16S ribosomal RNA". It matches the Rfam family "Bacterial small subunit ribosomal RNA", at positions 793 to 1055 of the family's 1533-position model. The record is from RNAcentral.
GUCCACGCCGUAAACGAUGGGCGCUAGGUGUGGGCGGUGUCGACUCCGUCCGUGCCGCAGCUAACGCAUUAAGCGCCCCGCCUGGGGAGUACGGCCGCAAGGCUAAAACUCAAAGGAAUUGACGGGGGCCCGCACAAGCAGCGGAGCAUGUGGUUCAAUUCGACGCAACGCGAAGAACCUUACCAGGGCUUGACAUGCACGGGAAAACCGUGGAAACACGGUCCCCGCAAGGGUCCGUGCACAGGUGGUGCAUGGCUGUCGU